This is an unclassified non-coding RNA of Chelonoidis abingdonii (Abingdon island giant tortoise), 157 nucleotides long. Lineage: Eukaryota; Metazoa; Chordata; Testudines; Testudinidae. The record is from Ensembl.
UUGAAAGCCCUGGAGACUGAAGUCUUCUAUUAUUCCACAGAACAGGUACAGCACAGGCAGCGACCGUGCAAGCUUCCCACACACUGCCCCACCAAUGCGCUUCAGCCCUGAACUGGAGGGUAGUUCAGUCUCCAUGCCCAUUCAGUCCCUGGCCUCU